CAUGGCUCAGGACGAACGCUGGCGGCGUGCUUAACACAUGCAAGUCGAACGGAAAGGCCCUGCUUUUGUGGGGUGCUCGAGUGGCGAACGGGUGAGUAACACGUGAGUAACCUGCCCUUGACUUUGGGAUAACUUCAGGAAACUGGGGCUAAUACCGGAUAGGAGCUCCUGCUGCAUGGUGGGGGUUGGAAAGUUUCGGCGGUUGGGGAUGGACUCGCGGCUUAUCAGCUUGUUGGUGGGGUAGUGGCUUACCAAGGCUUUGACGGGUAGCCGGCCUGAGAGGGUGACCGGCCACAUUGGGACUGAGAUACGGCCCAGACUCCUACGGGAGGCAGCAGUGGGGAAUAUUGCACAAUGGGCGGAAGCCUGAUGCAGCAACGCCGCGUGCGGGAUGACGGCCUUCGGGUUGUAAACCGCUUUCGCCUGUGACGAAGCGUGAGUGACGGUAAUGGGUAAAGAAGCACCGGCUAACUACGUGCCAGCAGCCGCGGUGAUACGUAGGGUGCGAGCGUUGUCCGGAUUUAUUGGGCGUAAAGGGCUCGUAGGUGGUUGAUCGCGUCGGAAGUGUAAUCUUGGGGCUUAACCCUGAGCGUGCUUUCGAUACGGGUUGACUUGAGGAAGGUAGGGGAGAAUGGAAUUCCUGGUGGAGCGGUGGAAUGCGCAGAUAUCAGGAGGAACACCAGUGGCGAAGGCGGUUCUCUGGGCCUUUCCUGACGCUGAGGAGCGAAAGCGUGGGGAGCGAACAGGCUUAGAUACCCUGGUAGUCCACGCUGUAAACGGUGGGUACUAGGUGUGGGGUCCAUUCCACGGGUUCCGUGCCGUAGCUAACGCUUUAAGUACCCCGCCUGGGGAGUACGGCCGCAAGGCUAAAACUCAAAGGAAUUGACGGA
This 890-nucleotide ribosomal RNA is filed under the name uncultured bacterium. Its description in RNAcentral is "bacterial SSU rRNA". It matches the Rfam family "Bacterial small subunit ribosomal RNA", at positions 18 to 917 of the family's 1533-position model. The record is from RNAcentral.